UACGUAGGGUGCGAGCGUUAAUCGGAAUUACUGGGCGUAAAGCGUGCGCAGGCGGUGAUGUAAGACAGGUGUGAAAUCCCCGGGCUCAACCUGGGAAUUGCAUUGGAGACUGCAAGGCUAGAAUCUGGCAGAGGGGGUAGAAUUCCACGUGUAGCAGUGAAAUGCGUAGAGAUGUGGAGGAACACCGAUGGCGAAGGCAGCCCCCUGGGUCAAGA
RNAcentral lists this ribosomal RNA (215 nucleotides) under uncultured bacterium. RNAcentral's name for it is "partial 16S ribosomal RNA". It matches the Rfam family "Bacterial small subunit ribosomal RNA", at positions 524 to 739 of the family's 1533-position model. The record is from RNAcentral.